GCAGUUCCCGCCGGCGCUGCUGAGUUUCUUCAUCUACAACCCGCGCUUCGAGCCGCGCGAAGGAGAAGCUGGGGGAGAGAGUCGAGGCCCCAGAUGGGACUGGAGUAUUCUCAGUCCGAAUAGUGAACACAGAGUCAUCCUCAAUCCUCUCUACUCCCGUGGUCUUGAGGGGCCACUGCUACCUCCUCCUGGUCCUGACCUUGAGGCUUCUCAGCACUGGCUUUCUCUGAAUUUCUUCUGUGCACAAGUAAAUCAUUCAGCUUCUUCUGGAACUAAUAAGGAUUUCUCGCCCAGAUACUCCUGUUCCGUGGUUACUCUACUGUUACUGAACCAUGCUUGACCCAGAGGGGAACUCUGCAAAGCUCACCACCUCCCCCAGCUUCCCCAGGGAGAAAGACACACACACCCUCUCCUCUGAGACCUCCAAACCUAUGUGGGUGUCUGUCAUCACUACCACUCCUGCCUCGUACCCGUGCACACCCAAGGACUGUGUUAGGAGAGGCGGAUGCAUUGAUGUCUAAGCGUUCUUGCAUCCUUAACUUUGAAACCAUAAAAGCAUGUUCUUUUCUUUGAUCUCUGGAUGUUUCAUUUUGUUUUUUGUCAUCUCCCUCUUUCGAUGCCUCCUGCAAUGAAUUGUAUGUGGGAGGAAGGGAGAGGCAAACAUGUACAAGGACACAGAGGUAUCCUGGGAGAAACUGUGACUCAUACUAUAAAAUAUUAAUCUCA
Symphalangus syndactylus (siamang) is the source of this 726-nucleotide long non-coding RNA. RefSeq lists it as uncharacterized. The record is from RefSeq and is a predicted model, not a curated record. Lineage: Eukaryota; Metazoa; Chordata; Mammalia; Primates; Hylobatidae.